AUACGGAGGAUCCGAGCGUUAUCCGGAUUUAUUGGGUUUAAAGGGAGCGUAGGUGGAUUGUUAAGUCAGUUGUGAAAGUUUGCGGCUCAACCGUAAAAUUGCAGUUGAAACUGGCAGUCUUGAGUACAGUAGAGGUGGGCGGAAUUCGUGGUGUAGCGGUGAAAUGCUUAGAUAUCACGAAGAACUCCGAUUGCGAAGGCAGCUCACUAGACUGUUACUGACACUGAUGCUCGAAAGUGUGUGUAUCAAACAGUAGUAGAUACCCUGGUAGUCCACACAGUAAACGAUGAAUACUCGCUGUUUGCGAUAUACAGUAAGCGGCCAAGCGAAAGCAUUAAGUAUUCCACCUGGGGAGUACGCCGGCAACGGUGAAACUCAAAGGAAUUGGCGGGG
This 393-nucleotide ribosomal RNA is filed under the name uncultured bacterium. RNAcentral describes it as "partial 16S ribosomal RNA". It matches the Rfam family "Bacterial small subunit ribosomal RNA", at positions 523 to 918 of the family's 1533-position model. The record is from RNAcentral.